Non-coding RNA from Parelaphostrongylus tenuis, 74 nucleotides. NCBI's taxonomy places the organism in Eukaryota, Metazoa, Nematoda, Chromadorea, Rhabditida, Metastrongylidae. The record is from the annotation of a GenBank genome assembly.
GCCUAGGUGGUGUAGUGGAAUUAACACGCAUCCACGGUAUGGAUGAAACGCGGUUUCGAUUCCCCCCUGAGGCC